This is a long non-coding RNA of Siniperca chuatsi (mandarin fish), 618 nucleotides long. RefSeq lists it as uncharacterized. NCBI's taxonomy places the organism in Eukaryota, Metazoa, Chordata, Actinopteri, Centrarchiformes, Sinipercidae. The transcript is spliced from 3 exons. The record is from RefSeq and is a predicted model, not a curated record.
AGCAAUUCAAUUGCUCUUCUUCUGGUCUAACUACUCUUGCAGAGAGACCCAAGCUUGCUAAUACAGUCUCUAAUAAGGCCAUGUGAACAAAAACAAAACAAAAUCAACCCUACCCUUAUAGAAUUUAAAAUCUUAAUAUUUGUUGUAUUUUUCUGGCUGUUGCAUGGUUCUGCACAGUCCUUCAGGAGUGCAGCUGAACCAGGCCAGGAAGGCGUGGCCUGUACGAGGUGUCCGCCCACAAAGACAACGCUGUCUCUGUCAUUGAGCACCAAACCUCGUGAUGUAAAAGGGCGCUCAAUACAACUGCAGUCUUCAACCAGCAACGUCCUGCAAGCACUGCUGCAUGGGCUUUAAAUGACGGGCAGAGGGGCAACGAAGUCACACCCUGCUCACGGAUGACUGGGUCGCUGUGGGAGAGACAUCACGCCUGCAUGCUCAAGCAAGACUAUAUGUCAAUCCAAAGGACUGCAAGGAUGAAAGGAAGGACAAACAAAGAAAGAAAGGUUAAGGAAAAGACGCAACCCGUUUGGGGAUGCGAUGAUGGAGAAGGAUAAAUAAAGUAAUUUCCUCUCUUUGUGUGUGUUGGUCUUCUUUCAGCUGCUCAAUAAAGUUUAUUUU